This 1044-nucleotide long non-coding RNA is filed under the name Mus musculus (house mouse). RNAcentral describes it as "predicted gene, 57096". The record is from RNAcentral. Lineage: Eukaryota; Metazoa; Chordata; Mammalia; Rodentia; Muridae.
AUUUCUGCAAGCUGGAACUUGCUGCCCUAGUCCCCGAGGGCUCGCAGCCGGAACUCGAACACGCUGCAACCAACUCUGGCAAGCCAGCUUGCUGUAUCAGACCUGGCUCCCAGCCUGGGCCAGGUGACCACCCCUGAGCGGCCGGGCAAACCGAGGGGAAACUCGCGCAUGCCUUGAUGCUAUUGGGUCGCCAAGGGUUCAUUUCAGGUCACUUGGUCAUUCUUCUGCCUCCAGCAGGUCUGGUUGCUAGGACUGGAGACAUGAGAAGCAGGUAGACUGGCUCCUUUGAUCCCACUCAGUACUCCUAAUCUCCAGUGGUCAGAGCACACAGGAAAGAGGACACCUGUGCCCCUCCAUCCAACUAUGAAAAACAAAAAAGCUGGCACCAAGAAAUUUGAAUUUUCCCAGGAAUCUCAAUGCUGGGAGAAAGAAAAGGCUGAAGCCUGGUGCCAGCCAAAGAGAGCUUGUCUCUCAGGAAGAGACUUCACAUGGUUCUGAUUCCUCUCUUACAGCUCGAGUAGCCUUCUCAGUCGAACCGUUCAUGUUGCGAGCUGCUGGCAGCCGCAACAUUUUGGCGCCCGAAGAGGGACCUGAAGAAUGGCAGAGAGAUGCUAAGGGAAACGCUGCUGCUGUGGAGCUCCACAGGAAAGGAUCUUCGUAUCGGACAUCGGAGCAACGGAUAGGAGCUGCACAGCACUCAAAACUGUGCAUACUGGUUUGUGAUCAUACAAAUUCAGUAUGGGCAUCGCUUGGUGCAGAGAGCACUGCAGGGAAAGGUCCAGCUUAACCAUUUCUGAGUUUCCUGUGAGAUAAACCUGGUUUAAAAGAGGGAGAAAAUGUAGUCUCCCCUCCCCCAGCCUGAAACCUGCUUGCUCAGGGGUGGAGCUUCCUGCUCAUUCAUUCUGCCACGCCCACUGCUAGAACCUGCGGAGCCACACACGUGCACCUUUCUACUGGACCAGAGAUUAUUCGGCGGGAGUCGGGUCCCCUCCCCCUUCCUUUAUAACUAGUGUCGCAACAAUAAAAUUUGAGCUUUGAUCAGAA